CGCAGUUGAACUGAAUCUCACUUAUUUUAAGUUGAAUUAAAUGUUGGUUUAUACGGCCUUAGCAGACUUUUUUUUUAUUAGUCUAACCUGAAGAGGGGGGAAAAAAGCACUUUGUGUUUUAAAUGCUCCAGCUCUUAACACCUGCACUUCUGUGAGUCCACAUCCAACUGACUGAAGUUCAUGCAGCACUGAAUGUGUAUUAUUUUCCAGCAGGCAGUCGUCACACUGGACAAACGCAGCCUCUGCAGGAGGAGAAUAAUGAAGCACAUUGUUUACUCCGAGAGGACUGAGCAGAUCUGUCACAGCAGCAACAGGCUGCCUGACUCUGUCCCCCAGGAGGGUGAUUCGGUUUAGGAAGGAAAGAAACCAGGGGGAGGCCGACCCAUGGGCAGCACACUGAGAGAAAGGGAGAAAGAUGUUAUCGCCUAUCAAGCAUGUCUAUAUGAGCCAACCAGCUGCUGCUGUUAUUCCAACUUUAUCAAGCGCAGGUGCUGCAGGAUGUCUCCCGGUCACACACAAAGGAAAUAAAAAAGAAAGCACAAGAAGAUUUUCUGAGAAAACAGCAGAGAUGUUGGCGAGGGGGGCUGCGCAUGGCCUUCGGC
Molecule: long non-coding RNA, 602 nt
Organism: Poeciliopsis prolifica (blackstripe livebearer)
Lineage: Eukaryota; Metazoa; Chordata; Actinopteri; Cyprinodontiformes; Poeciliidae
Exons: 3
Source: RefSeq, a predicted model, not a curated record